This 24-nucleotide non-coding RNA is filed under the name Mus musculus (house mouse). The record is from RNAcentral. Lineage: Eukaryota; Metazoa; Chordata; Mammalia; Rodentia; Muridae.
UGAUUGCGCUAGGACAGUUCGGGA